CGUAAUUUGGUCAGCCUAAAACUAUAGAUGGUUUCUUUUACCAUCUCCUCCAAAAAUAAUACUCCUCCGUUUAUAAUAUUGUAGUGAUGAUAUACCCUAUUCUUAAAACAUUCAAUCCUCAUACCGUUUCUCUUUCUCAUUCUCAUCCUCAUCCUCAUCCUCAUCCUCAUCCUCAUCCCUUCUAUCAAUUCAAUUGGGAAAAAGCUUCUCCUCAAUAUAUAUAGAUGGUUAGGGAUUGCAGAUUUGACAAUUAUUGGACCUGAAGGUGAGGAAUUUCUGCGAAUUUGAUCGGUGCAGCUUGAAUUCAAAUACUCUACAAGUUCCACUUUUGGAAUUUGGUACUGCGGACUGGGCUUGGCUCCAGACUUUUGAUGUUUUCAGUUGCUGCCUUGGGUGCCUUAUUCUCGUGUUCCUUCUAGUUUGCUUCAGAUGUAUAACAUCGCUCCAACAACCAACGCUGUCAAAUAAUAUACGAAAAAAAACCUAACACACUCUCAAAACAUAAAACAACCGCUUUCUUCCUCCCUCGUUUCUUCCCUGCAAAACCCUUAUACUGUCAAUACUCUCAAAUCUCAAUCGAUCACAACCGGAGCGGCGAAACCCACGGCGGAGAUUUCCUUCACGCAGUGUUUCCCUUCGCCUGGCGGCGCUUCCCUUCUCACGGCAAGAUUGAAUAAUCGAAUUGGAAGAUUUUCUCAUACUAUUUUUCACAGAGGCUCUCUUCUACUGUGGUGUCGCAAUUUUUAUUUUCCUUAUUCACUCUCUGCGUAGCCCCGCUAAAAGUGUUCCUGUUGCCAGCAGUUGUGGAAAGCUAACCACUCGGAUGGGGAGUCGUAUAUCUUCAGUUGCUAUUUUGAUGCUUAGACAGCUUAGUCUUAUUAUUCCAAUGGUGACAAUGGUUUUGUUUGGCCGUGGACUGGUCCUGCAGCAUCAGCUUCUCUAGCUCCUUACUUGGUUGGUAUUGUUGUACAGUUUGCAUUCGAGCAGUAUGCAAAAUAUACGAAAUCACCUUCCUGGGCCGUCAUUCUAGUUGUAUUUCAGACUGCAUCAACUAAAUCGAGUCGCACAACUGGUAACUGCUCUAUCUUUCACAGUUAGAGGAGCUGAGAUUAAUGCACACAACUUGGCCAAUGGCUGCAGCUAAAGAACCUCCCCCAACUCUGGAAACAACAAUGUCCUACUUACAAAAAUAUCUGAGUGAACGACCCAAAUGAAGUACGAAGAAUGAAACAACCAGUUUACAUACAAAGAAAAGGGUUGCAAGAGCUACUUAGUACUCCAUGUUUAGACGGAUCAGGAAGUUAACUUAGUACAUAGUAAUUUGAGUUACUUAGUACUCCAUGUUUAGACGGAUCAGGAAGUUAACUUAGUUAUGUUCUUCUAACAAGAGCCUUAUAGGCUGGCUUUGCCAUGUUGCAGAGGGACUAGUGAGAUUCCCCCCCCCCCCCCCCCCCCCCCCCUACACCUACCCCUUAUAGUUUCUUCUGUUAGCAUAAAGAAGUUACUUUCUUUUUCAAGCUGGCAGUAGCUUCUUUAUGCUGACACAAAAGACAACUAUAACCCAAUAGUAAUCAGUGAGGAGGUUCAGAUGCAAUGGCAGUUCUGCCACAGCAACUAUAACCCAAGCUUGCAGUAGCUUCUUCAUUUUUCUCACUUAUAUAUUGCACUGUGAAAUUUAAAAGAGUAGAUUUACACUUUAUCUCCCUCGGGCCUCAACAAUGAUGUUUUAUGUUUGUAUCGAUAUUCAAGUGUUGGUUUGUUUUUAAGGGUGAAAAAGUGAUACUUUCUUGUUGUAAGUGUAGGUGUGACUCAUGUGGGUGGAGACAUGUUCAAAUUGAUUCCUUCUGGUGAUGCAAUCUUCAUGAAGUUUUCCCCUGGUGACCCAAGCAAGUUCAUGGUUACUAUUGCUGAUUCCCAGGUCCGGAUACUGGGGUUAAUGUAAUAUGUAAAUAUAAAGGUCUUCGAAAUGCAAGAAGUCAGAUCUCUGCAUCAUUUACAUCAGAUGGGAAACACAUUAUCUCAGCCAGUGAAGACUCUUCUGUUUAUGUGUUGGAAUCCAAUAAAUCAGACACAUGUCAUACAACAAUUUCAUCUCACUUCAGAAGCAAGAACUCAUUGGGUGCGCUAUGUUCAACAAAUGUAUCGUAGAUAGAUUGCAUUGAAGGAAUCAAAAAUAUACUCCGUACAACUCUAUUAAUUAAUGUGUUUUGCAUAGUUUAAUGUUGUGGUCUGAUUUUAGAACAUGUUUAUGUAAUCAGUUAUAUUAUAAUGACAAUUGCAAAAAAAAAAAAAAAUUAUUGGAGGUUUGAAAUUAAUGUUUAACCACUAUAUUAUUCA
This is a long non-coding RNA of Spinacia oleracea (spinach), 2337 nucleotides long. RefSeq lists it as uncharacterized. The transcript has 7 exons. Lineage: Eukaryota; Viridiplantae; Streptophyta; Magnoliopsida; Caryophyllales; Amaranthaceae. The record is from RefSeq and is a predicted model, not a curated record.